RNAcentral lists this ribosomal RNA (233 nucleotides) under Bacillus cereus. RNAcentral's name for it is "partial 23S ribosomal RNA". It matches the Rfam family "Bacterial large subunit ribosomal RNA", at positions 2703 to 2925 of the family's 2925-position model. Lineage: Bacteria; Bacillati; Bacillota; Bacilli; Caryophanales; Bacillaceae. The record is from RNAcentral.
GCACCGCUGGUGUACCAGUUGUUCUGCCAAGGGCAUAGCUGGGUAGCUAUGUGCGGAAAGGGAUAAAGUGCUGAAAAGCAUCUAAAGCAUGAAAGCCCCCCUCAAAGAUGAGAUUUCCCAUAGCGUAAGCUAGUAAGAUCCCUGAAAGAUGAUCAGGUUGAUAGGUUCGAGGUGGAAGCAUGGUGACAUGUGGAGCUGACGAAUACUAAUAGAUCGAGGACUUAACCAUAUAA